AUUGAACGCUGGCGGCAGGCCUAACACAUGCAAGUCGAGCGGAUGAAGGGAGCUUGCUCCUGGAUUCAGCGGCGGACGGGUGAGUAAUGCCUAGGAAUCUGCCUGGUAGUGGGGGAUAACGUCCGGAAACGGGCGCUAAUACCGCAUACGUCCUGAGGGAGAAAGUGGGGGAUCUUCGGACCUCACGCUAUCAGAUGAGCCUAGGUCGGAUUAGCUAGUUGGUGGGGUAAAGGCCUACCAAGGCGACGAUCCGUAACUGGUCUGAGAGGAUGAUCAGUCACACUGGAACUGAGACACGGUCCAGACUCCUACGGGAGGAAGCAGUGGGGAAUAUUGGACAAUGGGCGAAAGCCUGAUCCAGCCAUGCCGCGUGUGUGAAGAAGGUCUUCGGAUUGUAAAGCACUUUAAGUUGGGAGGAAGGGCAGUAAGUUAAUACCUGGCUGUUUUGACGUUACCAACAGAAUAAGCACCGGCUAACUUCGUG
RNAcentral lists this ribosomal RNA (484 nucleotides) under uncultured bacterium. Its description in RNAcentral is "partial 16S ribosomal RNA". It matches the Rfam family "Bacterial small subunit ribosomal RNA", at positions 30 to 507 of the family's 1533-position model. The record is from RNAcentral.